RNAcentral lists this ribosomal RNA (376 nucleotides) under uncultured bacterium. RNAcentral describes it as "bacterial SSU rRNA". It matches the Rfam family "Bacterial small subunit ribosomal RNA", at positions 28 to 410 of the family's 1533-position model. The record is from RNAcentral.
GAUGAACGCUAGCGGCAGGCCUAAUACAUGCAAGUCGAACGCUCAGUAGCAACACUGGGAGUGGCGCACGGGUGCGUAACGCGUACACAAUCUACCUCUAAGCGGGGACACCUCCUGGAAACGGGGAUUAAUACCCGCAUAAUAUGCCGAGGUCGCAUGACUUUGGUAUUAAAGCAGCAAUGCACUUAGAGAUGAGUGUGCGUCCCAUUAGGUAGUUGGUGAGGUAACGGCUCACCAAGCCUAUGAUGGGUAGCCGGUCUGAGAGGAUGGUCGGCCACACGGGCACUGAGACACGGGCCCGACUCCUACGGGAGGCAGCAGUAAGGAUAUUGGUCAAUGGUGGAAACACUGAACCAGCCAUGCCGCGUGGAGGAAU